UUUACGGUUAUCUUUAGCCAGCAGCUUUAGAUAGGAUUCUACAUCGCCCGCUCUGGCCCCAGGGAUGCACACGACUGCAGCCGCUGGAGCCGCCAACUUCACGUUCCGCAGUAUAGAGCUCCCAAUAACCAGUUGGCUUCUCAGCGGGUGUAUCACUGAGUGGGGAGAAACUGUUAGAAAGGCGAAGAUGCCCAGAUUUGGACUGACAACUGCUAU
Molecule: long non-coding RNA, 216 nt
Organism: Sander lucioperca (pikeperch)
Lineage: Eukaryota; Metazoa; Chordata; Actinopteri; Perciformes; Percidae
Exons: 4
Source: RefSeq, a predicted model, not a curated record